Molecule: long non-coding RNA, 723 nt
Organism: Penaeus chinensis
Lineage: Eukaryota; Metazoa; Arthropoda; Malacostraca; Decapoda; Penaeidae
Exons: 5
Source: RefSeq, a predicted model, not a curated record
UCCCGAUGUAAAUAUGGGGCGGGAAGAUUUCUGCUCAAGGGCCGUGUUGGGCUCGAAAAAGAAGCCUCUUGUGCUUCUGCAGUCGGUAAAUAUGAUUAAGAUGGCAAAAACUCAUUCCUUCUCGUCGCAAAUGCCUGCACCUGUUGUCGCGACUGAGAAUUUUCAAUAAUUUGGCACCAAUGGGCUGCAGUGCAAAGAAACAUUGGCAGAUUUAUGGGGGUUGACAUGGAUUUGAGGAGGCCAUGGCAGAAUUCGAGGGAGGACAUGAAAAUGUGUGUGUAUAAGCUGCAUUGGUUGUGAUACAGAAUAUACAUGGAUGAUUCACAGUGAAGGCUUAUCAUCAUACGAAGAACCAGUGUCAAGCUCUAAACUACCAGGAUGUUUGUUGGGCUUACAUACUGCAGUGCCAGAAGACAUGGAGACAGCUGUUACACAGAGCCAUAGAAUACAUGAUUCAUGGCUACCAGGAAGACACAGGCAGAAGUCCACAGUAAAGUAUUGCAGUCUUUGCAGUAUUUCCCUAUUUCCCAGGAAGACGAAAUUGUGAUUUCAGCUGAACCAACAAUUCUUCCCCGUAUUUGGGAUAAGAUACGCUACCAUGUGUCUCCAUCAUCAGCCCCAGGGCAGACCUCGAUGAAACAUCAUACGCGUGAUUAGAAUUAAGCCAAGUGGAUAUGUGUGUAUAUGUGUGUAUUUAUGUAUGUAUGUAUAUAUUUAUCUCUG